UAAAAUGUCAUGGCAGGAAUGUCAUAAUUAGGAAAACUAUGUCUAGGGCUGCCUGGGUGGCUCAGCGCCCCGAGUGUCUGACUCUUGAUUUCAGCUCAGAUCAUGAUCUCAUGGUCAUGAGAUCGAGCUCUGCGUCGGGCUCCUCGCGGAACGCGGAGCCUGCUUCAGGUUCUCUCUUUCCCCCUCUGUCCCUCUCCCCUGCUCUCUCUCUCUCUAAAAAAAUAAAUAAAAUGA
Molecule: long non-coding RNA, 234 nt
Organism: Neofelis nebulosa (Clouded leopard)
Lineage: Eukaryota; Metazoa; Chordata; Mammalia; Carnivora; Felidae
Exons: 2
Source: RefSeq, a predicted model, not a curated record